Molecule: ribosomal RNA, 208 nt
Filed under: uncultured bacterium
Lineage: Bacteria
Description: partial 16S ribosomal RNA
Rfam family: Bacterial small subunit ribosomal RNA
Source: RNAcentral
GGAUCGCAGUCUGCAACUCGACUGCGUGAAGGUGGAGUCGCUAGUAAUCGCGGAUCAGCAACGCCGCGGUGAAUGCGUUCCCGGGCCUUGUACACACCGCCCGUCAAGUCAUGAAAGUGGGCAGCACCCGAAGACGGUGGCCUAACCCUUGUGGGGGGAGCCGUCUAAGGUGAGGCUCGUGAUUGGGACUAAGUCGUAACAAGGUACC